Paramormyrops kingsleyae is the source of this 732-nucleotide non-coding RNA. The record is from RefSeq and is a predicted model, not a curated record. Lineage: Eukaryota; Metazoa; Chordata; Actinopteri; Osteoglossiformes; Mormyridae.
GAGACCUUUCGCAGUUAUGAAUCUCCAGCUAAAGUAAACACCUGCUUCCCUUCAGUCUGGGGUAGAUCCCAUCUGCUGUAUCGACACCCUUCCCAGGAAGGAGAUGCCUGAACGCCCCCUCCUGAGGUUCGGGUAAUAAGUUUGUGUUGGAAGUCAGCGUGAUGAGCUGAGGACAAGAUCAAAACGACAAUGAUUGGGAGGGAAUCCGUGUGGAAAAUAAAGUGUGAGAACAUCCAGAAGUCAUCCAGGAACAUUGCAGAAACAUCUGAGCAUCUGGCAAGUCCUAACGACACCUGGAGGCCAGGAGCUGGGACAGAGGCACGAUGCUGACAGGGCUGGCACUCUGCAAAAGCAGGGCUCCAUAAUCAAAGCACCUGGGCAGAAAUCACAGCUGAGUGUCAGAGCGAGGGCACAGUGGUGCAACACUGUCUGUUUGCUUGUCAUGAUGGAUAUACAGAGACACAAAAAAGCAACCGGCACAGAGAAGGCUGUAGGAAAACAAGAAUUACAGAUUUUUCCCUGUUAUGCCCAGUAGACAUACCUCUGUCUUAAACACUGGAUUUUACCCUGUCUUACCUACCGUUCAUCCAUCUCUGUCUUAAACACUGUCGAUCCUUCCUUGAGCUUAACAUUGUUUUUUCCUCCUGUCUUAUACACUACGGAUCCUUCCCUGUCUUAAACAUUAAAUGUCCUUCCCUGUCUUAAACAUUAAAUGUCCUUCCCUGUCUUAAA